Ctenopharyngodon idella (grass carp) is the source of this 2576-nucleotide long non-coding RNA. RefSeq lists it as uncharacterized. The transcript is spliced from 2 exons. Lineage: Eukaryota; Metazoa; Chordata; Actinopteri; Cypriniformes; Xenocyprididae. The record is from RefSeq and is a predicted model, not a curated record.
UAAUAUCUGUGUAGUUCGUGCUGAAAUGCUUUAUGUAUUUUCUGAGGUGUUUGUCUGCACUUUCUCUUCAACCCUGUUAUUGUCACAUUUACACCAUUAAAGAUAAUGGCUGGAUCUUUCGGUUUGUGACCACAUGCUUCAUAUUCUUUCCGUCUUUAUUAGUAUUUCAUCAUCAAGCUUAGCAUUUCAGCUCUGUUAUGGAUGAAAAUCAUAGUAAUACAUUUUUACACAUUAAAAUAUAUUAAAUAUUGUAUUGCAAUAAAAUACGUACUGUAUAAUAUGCUGUGGUGCAAUGAUAUUUACUAAGUAAGGACAUGAAAAAAGAAACUGAGACUGAGAAAAGAGAAAUAUGCUGCCUGACACUGAAGCUGGUUGAGUGUUGUGGAUUCUGACUGUGACGGGGCUGAACCGCUGCAGUGCUGUAGGCUUGUGAUGGUCAGGUACGGCCCUGUGACUCCAGCUGUAACCAAACAAAUAACACUCUAAUGAUCCCUGAACGUGUCACAGAAGACGGUGGGAAUGAUCCGACCGUCCUCGGCGUGUCAGGACACCGUGAUCCGGAUGUUUUGACACUGGGCUUUGAUCAAUAGAGUCUGUGUUUUGUGGUGGGACUGACACCCGUUUGCGGCACCGUUUAAGAGGUCAGGAGAACACUCUCAAUGAAUCAAAGCGCCCGACACAUGAGGCCUGACACAUGUUGGACAACACUGACCACAACAACGCCACUGCCUUUGAUGAGCUGCCCGACUGAGUGUGUUUACAUGCGCCUGUCCGUCAUCUGCAGAGGGCGGAGCCUUUGAUGACAUCACAGGAUAACAGAGGAACACGUACAGCAUGAGACUGAGUGCCGCGAUGACUCCGCGCCGGCUACGAUUGUCCUGCGAGGAGCCCGAGGUGCAGUACGAGGGUGACUUACAGCUGCUGUGAAGAGGCUGGAGGGAGAGCGGUGUGCCGAACACCUUCACGGUCAGCAGUCAUGACUGUGAGUCUGGAGGACGUCGAGGACACUUCUGUUUGUAGGAGGAAUUGCAUCAUACCUUAAAUGUCCAAUGUAGACAUAUCAAACACAUAUUAAGGCUUUUUGUUUUUGAAGGAGAAGACCAUCAGAGAUUGACAGAAUUGAAAGAGAACUAUACUGGGCUGGACGAUGACCGCUGUUUUCUACAGAGCUGCUUUGUAGAUGAAUAGAACUGAAUCAACACUGAACUGAUUUCAACUGAUAUUAAAUUCGCUCAACUGGUUCAUCGAAAACAGCUAGUCAUUCGGCAGACAGUGAACAAAAACGACAGUAUUAUAUAGUAAACAACAUAUUAAACCUAAAUGAUAUAUAUAAAAAAUAGAAAAUUUGAGCGAAUGAAACGCCAUUAAUACCAGCAUAUUCCUGAACUACAAUAACGUGCUGAAUUAACAAAUUUAUCUUUAACAUUUAAAUUCAGCAAAAAUUUACAGGCUCCACUAUCAGUGAUAGGCUCACGUUAACAUCAUCGAUCAAAAGCAAGUUUCACGGUCUACCAAACACUAUAAUACAGCUGAAGAUUAAAACAUUUUUUUGUGUGUGUGUGUAGUUUUUGCUAAGUGUCCAAAUUAAAAACAACUAAAAUGGAAAUCUAAAAACUUAUCUCAGAUGUCCAGUCUCCAGAUUGACAAACAAAACAGGGCAUUAAAUUGACAAAUAAAGUUACAAAACAUUAAAAAUACUAAACAUUAUACAUCUAAAUGAGCAAUUAACGGUACAUAUGUAAAAAAUGAUGACUGAAAAUAAAGUUAUAGCUCUUACCUUUACCUCUGAGAACUCCCGUUGGUUGGCUGACGACCGUUACGGAACAAAAUGACGCGCAUGCGCAGUACUCCAAAAGUCCGUGAGUGCUGCUAGUGGUUUUUAAUUCAAAUUACGUUACAGUUAAUAACAUUGUAAAUCUAGCGAUUUUAUUCAUUUAUUUAUUUUUAUUUGAUGUACAUUUAAACGUUAUAAUACACUGGCAUUAAAUUACAAACAAACAAAUAAUAGAUUAAAAUACACAUUUGUGAGGGUGUUUCUAAUACAAAGGCUGAGGAUCAAGUAACCGUAAAUUUGACUUUUUUUUCUGCCGUGAUCAAUCACUCUGUAUUUUUUGGGAAGAUCACGUGUGAACAAAAGUGAUUAGUGUGGAAAAUAUGGGAAAUUCAUGUUGUUGUUGUUGUUUUCUGUAAGUGUUUAAAAUUCUUCUAACAUUUAGCUAAUGGAUACAAAAUGUAGUGUGAUUGCUAGCUACUAGGCUUUCUUCCACCCAUAUUUGCAUAUUGUCGACUGUAAGAUUGGAAAUGUAUUUUUUUGCCCCUGAAAUACAUUUUUAAAUAUAUUUUAAGGUUGAAACAAAAUAUAUUUUCAGUUUCAAAAAUAUAUUUCAUUGAUCUUCACUGUUUAGGCCUAUAUGUACCAUAUAUUUAAAAUAUAUUUUAUUUUGGUGAGAUAAAAUACAUGUUUUCUCUGUAUGGGUAAAGCAGCUCUAAAAGACAGUAGUGAUAUUAUUCAGAUCAAGUUUUGUUCUCAUUGUAUCAGUGCAGUUUAAUCGAAAAUAAAGAGUUUUAAACCCUAA